GACGAACGCUGGCGGCGCGCCUAACACAUGCAAGUCGAACGAGAGAUGAAGAGCUUGCUCUUCAAAUCGAGUGGCGAACGGGUGAGUAACGCGUGAGGAACCUGCCUCAAAGAGGGGGACAACAGUUGGAAACGACUGCUAAUACCGCAUAAGCCCACGGCUCGGCAUCGAGCAGAGGGAAAAGGAGCAAUCCGCUUUGAGAUGGCCUCGCGUCCGAUUAGCUAGUUGGUGAGGUAACGGCCCACCAAGGCGACGAUCGGUAGCCGGACUGAGAGGUUGAACGGCCACAUUGGGACUGAGACACGGCCCAGACUCCUACGGGAGGCAGCAGUGGGGAAUAUUGCACAAUGGGGGGAACCCUGAUGCAGCGACGCCGCGUGGAGGAAGAAGGUCUUCGGAUUGUAAACUACCUGUUGUUGUAGGAAGAUAAUGACGGUACUCAACAAGGAAGUGACGGCUAACUACGUG
RNAcentral lists this ribosomal RNA (468 nucleotides) under uncultured bacterium. Its description in RNAcentral is "bacterial SSU rRNA". It matches the Rfam family "Bacterial small subunit ribosomal RNA", at positions 28 to 507 of the family's 1533-position model. The record is from RNAcentral.